RNAcentral lists this unclassified non-coding RNA (294 nucleotides) under Hevea brasiliensis (rubber tree). Lineage: Eukaryota; Viridiplantae; Streptophyta; Magnoliopsida; Malpighiales; Euphorbiaceae. The record is from RNAcentral.
ACAAAUGCCCAUUUUUCCAAAAUAAUGAGCAUUGAGGCAAAGAGGGAACACCACACAAACCUUUGUUACCCGAAAGGUCAAUAGUCCCACCAUGCACACCAAUUGAAUAAAGCUCCUCUUGGACUGGUCCUACCAACAAGUUAUUAUUCAAUAACACAAGCUGCAGACUUGAAGAUGCUAGACUUUCUGGUAUAGGUCCAGAGAACUGAUUGUUUGAUAAAUCCAGCUGCACAAGUGAUUUAUGACCUAGUCCUGAUGGAAGUGUUCCUACUAAUGAAUUAGAACUCAAAUUCA